Long non-coding RNA from Canis lupus familiaris (dog), 842 nucleotides. RefSeq lists it as uncharacterized. The record is from RefSeq and is a predicted model, not a curated record. Lineage: Eukaryota; Metazoa; Chordata; Mammalia; Carnivora; Canidae. The transcript has 3 exons.
UUGACACACAGUGUUCCUGGGAUCAGUGGGCCCUGUUUGCAUGACUUCCUUGGGAGAGGACAGCUGGAAGCUCUUGAGGACAGCUGGAAGCUCUUGUCCCAUCUGAUGAGAAAUCUAAGGCCCAGACAAUGUGAAAUAACUUGCCGAAGUUCCCACAGAAAGUUAAAGGGUGGAUCCUGGAAGAAAUAAUUUUUCAUGUAUGAAAACAAUUCUAUACAGUUUUUGACUUCAGAUUUCUUUCCUCCCUUAUGUUCACUUGUAAUUAAAUGUGAAAUCUUAAUAUGAUAUACAUAGCAUAAUAUCAUUGUUUUUACAAAAAUGUCUUUCUUUGAUCUAGCUAUAUAUGCAUGUGCAUUGAAAAAUGUUCCAGAUAUAGUCAGCAAUAUUGCAAUAACAUCGUAUGAUGGCAGAUGGUGACUGCACAACAAAAAAAGAAAAAGAAAUGUGGAGGAACGUUGCUCACCUAAUAUUAGAGAAGAUGUUUCAGACAUUUAAAUUUGGGGACAACCUGGAAAGCAAGCGAAGCAAAUUUUGAGUAAUUUAGUAUGUCUGGGAAAGCCUUGCCAUCGAGCUCACUUGAAUUGCUCUUUUUCUGGUGCAAUGGGGAAAAAACAGCUUCUUCUUUCAAGGCAACAAGCUCCAGAGACAGCUGCCCUCAGGGGCUGGAUUCACCUCCACGGUUUUCCUCUAUUCCAUGUAUCUUUCGAUUUCACAGUUCAAGGAAAGAAGGCAAAAAUAAACAAACAAAAGACCCCUAAAUAGUCCAAGUAUCAUUCUCAAAGAAAGUGAUUUGGGACAAUUGUCUUAAAAGAAUAAGCAACAAUCUUUUUAAAAUGACCUUA